UGCGUAGGCGGGUUGGCAGGUCGGAUGUGAAAACCCCACGGCUUAACCGGGGGCCUGCAUUCGAAACCGCCAAUCUUGAGUACGGGAGAGGAAAGCGGAAUUCCUGGUGUAGCGGUGAAAUGCGUAGAUAUCAGGAAGAACACCGGUGGCGAAGGCGGCUUUCUGGCCCGAUACUGACGCUCAGGCACGAAGGCUAGGGGAGCAAACA
Molecule: ribosomal RNA, 208 nt
Filed under: uncultured bacterium
Lineage: Bacteria
Description: partial 16S ribosomal RNA
Rfam family: Bacterial small subunit ribosomal RNA
Source: RNAcentral